AUACGAAGGGUGCAAGCGUUAAUCGGAAUUACUGGGCGUAAAGCGCGCGUAGGUGGUUCAGCAAGUUGGAGGUGAAAUCCCCGGGCUCAACCUGGGAACUGCCUCCAAAACUACUGAGCUAGAGUACGGUAGAGGGUAGUGGAAUUUCCUGUGUAGCGGUGAAAUGCGUAGAUAUAGGAAGGAACACCAGUGGCGAAGGCGACUACCUGGACUGAUACUGACACUGAGGUGCGAAAGCGUGGGGAGC
This 247-nucleotide ribosomal RNA is filed under the name uncultured bacterium. RNAcentral describes it as "partial 16S ribosomal RNA". It matches the Rfam family "Bacterial small subunit ribosomal RNA", at positions 523 to 769 of the family's 1533-position model. The record is from RNAcentral.